GAUGAACGCUGGCGGCGUGCCUAAUACAUGCAAGUCGAGCGAACAGACGAGGAGCUUGCUCCUCUGACGUUAGCGGCGGACGGGUGAGUAACACGUGGAUAACCUACCUAUAAGACUGGGAUAACUUCGGGAAACCGGAGCUAAUACCGGAUAAUAUAUUGAACCGCAUGGUUCAAUAGUGAAAGACGGUUUUGCUGUCACUUAUAGAUGGAUCCGCGCCGCAUUAGCUAGUUGGUAAGGUAACGGCUUACCAAGGCAACGAUGCGUAGCCGACCUGAGAGGGUGAUCGGCCACACUGGAACUGAGACACGGUCCAGACUCCUACGGGAGGCAGCAGUAGCGAAUCUUCCGCAAUGGGCGAAAGCCUGACGGAGCAACGCCGCGUGAGUGAUGAAGGUCUUCGGAUCGUAAAACUCUGUUAUUAGGGAAGAACAAAUGUGUAAGUACCUAUGCACGUCUUGACGGUACCUAAUCAGAAAGCCACGGCUAACUACGUG
RNAcentral lists this ribosomal RNA (497 nucleotides) under uncultured bacterium. Its description in RNAcentral is "partial 16S ribosomal RNA". It matches the Rfam family "Bacterial small subunit ribosomal RNA", at positions 28 to 507 of the family's 1533-position model. The record is from RNAcentral.